RNAcentral lists this ribosomal RNA (310 nucleotides) under uncultured bacterium. RNAcentral describes it as "partial 16S ribosomal RNA". It matches the Rfam family "Bacterial small subunit ribosomal RNA", at positions 503 to 807 of the family's 1533-position model. The record is from RNAcentral.
AAGGGACAGCAGCAGCCGCGGUAAUACGUAGGGUGCGAGCGUUAAUCGGAAUUACUGGGCGUAAAGCGUGCGCAGGCGGUGCUGCAAGACCGAUGUGAAAGCCCCGGGCUUAACCUGGGAACUGCAUUGGUGACUGCAGCGCUGGAGUAUGGCAGAGGGGGGUGGAAUUCCACGUGUAGCAGUGAAAUGCGUAGAGAUGUGGAGGAACACCGAUGGCGAAGGCAGCCCCCUGGGCCAAUACUGACGCUCAUGCACGAAAGCGUGGGGAGCAAACAGGAUUAGAUACCCGGGUAGUCCCUGUCUCUUAUAC